This 479-nucleotide ribosomal RNA is filed under the name uncultured bacterium. RNAcentral describes it as "partial 16S ribosomal RNA". It matches the Rfam family "Bacterial small subunit ribosomal RNA", at positions 28 to 507 of the family's 1533-position model. The record is from RNAcentral.
GAUGAACGCUGGCGGCGUGCUUAACACAUGCAAGUCGAACGAAGCACUUAAGAUUGAUUCUUCGGAUGACGUCUUUUGUGACUUAGUGGCGGACGGGUGAGUAACGCGUGGGUAACCUGCCUCACACAGGGGGAUAACAGUUAGAAAUGACUGCUAAUACCGCAUAACCCGAUAGGAUCGCAUGAUCCAGACGGAAAAGAUUUAUCGGUGUGGGAUGGACCCGCGUCUGAUUAGCUAGUUGGUGAGGUAACGGCACACCAAGGCGACGAUCAGUAGCCGGGAUGAGAGGGUGAACCGCCACGUUGGCGCUGAGACACAGCCCACACUCCGACGCAAGGGAGCAGAGGGGAAUAUAGCACGAGGGGGGAAGCGCUGAUGCAGCGGCGCCGGGUGAGUGAAGAAGUGUGUCGGUAUGUAAAGCUCUAUCAGCAGGGGAGAAAAUGACGGUACCUGACUAAGAAGCCCCGGCUAACUACGUG